UAUAAAGAUAUAUUAUUUAUUUAAAAAAUCAUUUUUUUUGUUUUUGUAUUUGUUAAAGAUUUAAUUUUAUUUGGUGAUAAAGUAUUUGUACUGUGAGGGUUAAUUGAAAUAAAUAUAUUUAUUAAUUAAGUUAAUUUUAUUUAUUGUGCCUUGUGUAUCAGGAUUAAUUAAAUGAUUAUCAUAAAUUUUGAUGUUCUCGAUUUUAUAAGAGUUAAUUUAUUAUUUUAGUUAUUAUUUUAUAAAUAUUGAUAAUAAUAAAUUAGUAGUGAUAUGUUAAUCGUUUAUAAGGAUAUCUAGUUUUUUGGGAAAUAAAUUUCAUUUUCAUUUUUUCUUUAAUUAUUUUUAUUUUUAAUUUAAUUUAAGUUUAAAUG
RNAcentral lists this ribosomal RNA (371 nucleotides) under Geoscapheus robustus. RNAcentral describes it as "partial 16S ribosomal RNA". Lineage: Eukaryota; Metazoa; Arthropoda; Insecta; Blattodea; Blaberidae. The record is from RNAcentral.